ACACCCGUUCCCAUUCCGAACACGGAAGUUAAGCCCUCCAGCGCCGAUGGUACUGCUUUCGCGGGAGAGUAGGUCGCUGCCGGUA
Molecule: ribosomal RNA, 85 nt
Filed under: Thermoanaerobacter ethanolicus subsp. thermohydrosulfuricus
Lineage: Bacteria; Bacillati; Bacillota; Clostridia; Thermoanaerobacterales; Thermoanaerobacteraceae
Source: RNAcentral